Small RNA from Streptomyces yokosukanensis, 91 nucleotides. It matches the Rfam family "sodF sRNA". From Rfam's summary of the family: Identified in Streptomyces coelicolor. NCBI's taxonomy places the organism in Bacteria, Bacillati, Actinomycetota, Actinomycetes, Kitasatosporales, Streptomycetaceae. The record is from Rfam.
ACGUCCUGCCUCGUGAUCGUCUUCUCACCCUUCACGCGGGCAGGCGGAUGAGAGAAGACCCCCGUGAGGACAUGACUCACGGGGGUCUUCC